UGGGGUGGAGCUCAGUGGUUGGGCACGUGCUUAGCACGCAUAAGGUUCUGGGUUUGAUCCCCAGCAUCACGU
Molecule: transfer RNA, 72 nt
Filed under: Ictidomys tridecemlineatus (thirteen-lined ground squirrel)
Lineage: Eukaryota; Metazoa; Chordata; Mammalia; Rodentia; Sciuridae
Description: Spermophilus tridecemlineatus (thirteen-lined ground squirrel) tRNA
Rfam family: tRNA
About the family: Transfer RNA (tRNA) molecules are approximately 80 nucleotides in length. Their secondary structure includes four short double-helical elements and three loops (D, anti-codon, and T loops).
Source: Rfam by way of RNAcentral